AAACGUUCACUCUGCUACCAGCAGAGCGCAGUUCGAUCGACGCCAUGGAACGGGGACGUCGG
RNAcentral lists this non-coding RNA (62 nucleotides) under Synechococcus sp. RNAcentral's name for it is "Glutamine-II sequence". It matches the Rfam family "Glutamine-II riboswitch aptamer". From Rfam's summary of the family: The major groove of the PK provides the binding site for L-glutamine RNAcentral also lists the same sequence under 1 other name. The record is from RNAcentral. Lineage: Bacteria; Bacillati; Cyanobacteriota; Cyanophyceae; Synechococcales; Synechococcaceae.